This 1214-nucleotide long non-coding RNA is filed under the name Homo sapiens (human). Its description in RNAcentral is "HSALNT0317884". The record is from RNAcentral. Lineage: Eukaryota; Metazoa; Chordata; Mammalia; Primates; Hominidae.
CAGACGGAGGCAUCUUGGUGUAUACACAGCCCUGCUGGGCCACAUCCCGGGUCUCCUCCCUCUGCGAUGCCAUAGCAGGGGCGCCUUCCGAAAGCCCUCUGGAUUGAGGCAGCAGGAUCUAUGGUGGAACCUGCCCCGGCGUCGCCAACGCCCCUAGGACCCCAGCACACUGACUGGGGAGCAUCCCUGUGUCGUUUCUGCCCGGAGAGGAGCAGAGGCCAGGCUGCUGCUCUGGGAGAUGAGACUUUCUGGUGCACCUGCACUUCCACAUGAGACUUCCGGGUGCACCUGCACUCCCAGAUGCAGACUUCCUGGUGCACCUGCACUUCCUGGUGCAGACUUCUUGGUUCAUCUGCAACUUCCUGGUGAGAAUCCCUUGGGCAUCUGCACUUCCUGAUGCACCUGCACUUCUAGUUAUUUUAGAGAAAACGUUCCCUGAACAUGCCACAUGCAGAGGAUGCUGGGUAUCAGGCUACCUUUGCUGGACAGCUCCAGUCUACAGGGUCUCCACUCCUGAGUUCCCGGAAACAAGAUACAGAUUUCAGAAUGGCACCUGAACAUUGUUUACUGAUUUCCGGCUGGAAGUGAGGGUCCGAGGGAUUCUUCUAUGGAAUUGUAUGACUCAGCAUCUUUCUGAUUGCAAGCAGCAGCAUCGCAGCCUAAAUGAAUCUAUUGGCUUCUUCAACAGACCAAUCCGGUGGACGUGGUGGCUUCGGGUGAGGGAUGCUCCAGGGGCUCUCCAUGAUGUCCCCAAGGUCCUUUAACCUCUGGGCACUGCUUCUGCAGGAUUGGCUUUGCUUAGGGUUGGUUCCCCUUCAUUCUUGAGCUGGUUGUGGGCAACUCCUGCCCCCUGUGGGGGGACUGGACUGCCUUAGAUCACAUGUGUGUCCCUGACUCUCUGUGGUCAGGGGAUAGAAUAUUCAGAUUGGAGGGGAGCCAGCUUCUCCUAAACCACGUGGAUCUCCAAACGGAAGUCAGAGCAGAUGGGAAGGGGGAGCAGACGUUGAGCUCAAUCAAUAAACACCCACCUUGGGAGCUGCAGCCUGGAGGGCUUGGUGACUGCCACGCUGGCUGCUCAGAGCUCCUCGCUUACUUUUGGGCAUAUGCCUGUGAACCAGAUGGUGGCACCUCCUGAAAAUCGGGUCUGUGGAUAAUGGGAGGAUUUUUUAAAUUAUGAAAAUGUUCAUUAUGGAAGAAUAAAUGAAGAAUAGCAU